AGUGAACGCUGGCGGUAGGCCUAACACAUGCAAGUCGAACGGCAGCACAGUAAGAGCUUGCUCUUACGGGUGGCGAGUGGCGGACGGGUGAGGAAUACAUCGGAAUCUACUUUUUCGUGGGGGAUAACGUAGGGAAACUUACGCUAAUACCGCAUACGACCUACGGGUGAAAGCAGGGGAUCUUCGGACCUUGCGCGAUUGAAUGAGCCGAUGUCGGAUUAGCUAGUUGGCGGGGUAAAGGCCCACCAAGGCGACGAUCCGUAGCUGGUCUGAGAGGAUGAUCAGCCACACUGGAACUGAGACACGGUCCAGACUCCUACGGGAGGAAGCAGUGGGGAAUAUUGGACAAUGGGCGCAAGCCUGAUCCAGCCAUACCGCGUGGGUGAAGAAGGCCUUCGGGUUGUAAAGCCCUUUUGUUGGGAAAGAAAAGCAGCAGGUUAAUACCCCGCUGUUCUGGCGGUACCCAAAGAAUAAGCACCGGCUAACUUCGUG
This 492-nucleotide ribosomal RNA is filed under the name uncultured bacterium. RNAcentral's name for it is "partial 16S ribosomal RNA". It matches the Rfam family "Bacterial small subunit ribosomal RNA", at positions 29 to 507 of the family's 1533-position model. The record is from RNAcentral.